AUGCUCGCUUUGGCAGCACAUAUACUAAAAUUGUAAUGAUACAGAGAAGAUUAGCAUGGUCCCUGCACAAGGAUGACACGCAAAUUUGUUCCAUAUUUUU
Small nuclear RNA from Pteropus vampyrus (large flying fox), 100 nucleotides. Lineage: Eukaryota; Metazoa; Chordata; Mammalia; Chiroptera; Pteropodidae. The record is from Ensembl.